CAAAAGGCUUUGGUCAUCUUUCCUUAGUGGUUGUUUCUAUGGUCUCUUGUGUUGUUGCUUGCGAUGUCUUGGCGAUUGGUUUUGUUGUCCUGGCUCGAUCCUAUUGUCUUUGGAUGUUCUUAUUAUGGGUUUCUUCCUCCAGGGCUGUCAUUGUCCUUCCUGCCUCUGUCAUUUUUGUGCUCGUUUGGCCUCUGUGUGAGAGUUCUGGCUGUAACGCCUAUAUAGUUGGCUUCCCUAUUUUCAGCGGGGUAAUUGGUUGAUAUACUGUACACUCAUACCAAUCAAUCCACUCAGAUCCAAGAGGCCAGCAUGAAACACCAAGAGUGUACAGCA
This 333-nucleotide long non-coding RNA is filed under the name Androctonus crassicauda. Lineage: Eukaryota; Metazoa; Arthropoda; Arachnida; Scorpiones; Buthidae. The record is from RNAcentral.